This 1742-nucleotide ribosomal RNA is filed under the name human gut metagenome. RNAcentral describes it as "bacterial LSU rRNA". It matches the Rfam family "Bacterial large subunit ribosomal RNA", at positions 1205 to 2925 of the family's 2925-position model. The record is from RNAcentral.
GCAGCGACACUAUGUGUUGUUGGGUAGGGGAGCGUUCUGUAAGCCUGCGAAGGUGGCCUGUGAGGGUUGCUGGAGGUAUCAGAAGUGCGAAUGCUGACAUAAGUAACGAUAAAGCGGGUGAAAAGCCCGCUCGCCGGAAGACCAAGGGUUCCUGUCCAACGUUAAUCGGGGCAGGGUGAGUCGACCCCUAAGGCGAGGCCGAAAGGCGUAGUCGAUGGGAAACAGGUUAAUAUUCCUGUACUUGGUGUUACUGCGAAGGGGGGACGGAGAAGGCUAUGUUAGCCGGGCGACGGUUGUCCCGGUUUAAGCAUGUAGGCUGGUUAUCCAGGCAAAUCCGGAUAAUCAAGGCUGAGGUGUGAUGACGAGGCACUACGGUGCUGAAGUAACAAAUGCCCUGCUUCCAGGAAAAGCCUCUAAGCAUCAGGUAACAUCAAAUCGUACCCCAAACCGACACAGGUGGUCAGGUAGAGAAUACCAAGGCGCUUGAGAGAACUCGGGUGAAGGAACUAGGCAAAAUGGUGCCGUAACUUCGGGAGAAGGCACGCUGGUGUGUAGGUGAAGUCCCUGCGGAUGGAGCUGAGACCAGUCGAAGAUACCAGCUGGCUGCAACUGUUUAUUAAAAACACAGCACUGUGCAAACACGAAAGUGGACGUAUACGGUGUGACGCCUGCCCGGUGCCGGAAGGUUAAUUGAUGGGGUUAUCCGUAAGGAGAAGCUCUUGAUCGAAGCCCCGGUAAACGGCGGCCGUAACUAUAACGGUCCUAAGGUAGCGAAAUUCCUUGUCGGGUAAGUUCCGACCUGCACGAAUGGCGUAAUGAUGGCCAGGCUGUCUCCACCCGAGACUCAGUGAAAUUGAACUCGCUGUGAAGAUGCAGUGUACCCGCGGCAAGACGGAAAGACCCCGUGAACCUUUACUAUAGCUUGACACUGAACAUUGAGCCUUGAUGUGUAGGAUAGGUGGGAGGCUUUGAAGCGUGGACGCCAGUCUGCGUGGAGCCAACCUUGAAAUACCACCCUUUAAUGUUUGAUGUUCUAACGUUGGCCCCUUAUCGGGGUUGCGGACAGUGUCUGGUGGGUAGUUUGACUGGGGCGGUCUCCUCCCAAAGCGUAACGGAGGAGCACGAAGGUUAGCUAAUCCUGGUCGGACAUCAGGAGGUUAGUGCAAUGGCAUAAGCUAGCUUGACUGCGAGCGUGACGGCGCGAGCAGGUGCGAAAGCAGGUCAUAGUGAUCCGGUGGUUCUGAAUGGAAGGGCCAUCGCUCAACGGAUAAAAGGUACUCCGGGGAUAACAGGCUGAUACCGCCCAAGAGUUCAUAUCGACGGCGGUGUUUGGCACCUCGAUGUCGGCUCAUCACAUCCUGGGGCUGAAGUAGGUCCCAAGGGUAUGGCUGUUCGCCAUUUAAAGUGGUACGCGAGCUGGGUUUAGAACGUCGUGAGACAGUUCGGUCCCUAUCUGCCGUGGGCGCUGGAGAAUUGAGGGGGGCUGCUCCUAGUACGAGAGGACCGGAGUGGACGCAUCACUGGUGUUCGGGUUGUCAUGCCAAUGGCACUGCCCGGUAGCUAAAUGCGGAAGAGAUAAGUGCUGAAAGCAUCUAAGCACGAAACUUGCCCCGAGAUGAGUUCUCCCUGAGACUUUAAGUCUCCUGAAGGAACGUUAAAGACGAUGACGUUGAUAGGCCGGGUGUGUAAGCGCAGCGAUGCGUUGAGCUAACCGGUACUAAUGAACCGUGAGGCUUAACCUU